This 494-nucleotide ribosomal RNA is filed under the name uncultured bacterium. RNAcentral describes it as "partial 16S ribosomal RNA". It matches the Rfam family "Bacterial small subunit ribosomal RNA", at positions 28 to 507 of the family's 1533-position model. The record is from RNAcentral.
GACGAACGCUGGCGGCGUGCUUGACACAUGCAAGUCGAACGGAAAGGCCUGCUUUCCCUUGUGGAUUGCGGGUACUCGAGUGGCGAACGGGUGAGUAACACGUGAGUGAUCUGCCCCCAACUUGGGUAUAAGCCUGGGAAACUGGGUCUAAUUCCCGAUAGGACUGCAGGGUGGUGCCUGUGGUGGAAAACGAUUUUCUAGUGGUUGGGGAUGAGCUCGCGGCCUAUCAGCUUGUUGGUGGGGUAAUGGCCUACCAAGGCGGCGACGGGUAGCCGGCCUGAGAGGGUGGACGGGCACAUUGGGACUGAGAUACGGCCCAGACUCCUACGGGAGGCAGCAGUGGGGAAUAUUGCACGAUGGGCGGAAGCCUGAUGCAGCGACGCCGCGUGGGGGAUGACGGCCUUCGGGUUGUAAACUCCUUUCGACCGCGAGGAAGCCACCUGGUUGGAAGGGUGGUGACGGUAGUGGUAGAAGAAGCACCGGCUAACUACGUG